This 345-nucleotide long non-coding RNA is filed under the name Fukomys damarensis (Damara mole-rat). RNAcentral's name for it is "lncRNA (ENSFDAG00000024771.1)". Lineage: Eukaryota; Metazoa; Chordata; Mammalia; Rodentia; Bathyergidae. The record is from RNAcentral.
CCCUGACAGCAGCCCUCGCAAGCGCCGGGUCCCACAGGAAGCUCAUCACAAGGACUGAAGCAAAAGCCAGGCCAGGACCAACUACCAUCCCUGAGGGGAAGGGGCCUUGGACCUGCCUGCUUGUGAACGCCUCAGGGAAGAGCUGUCCCCCUCCUCCUUCCUGCGAAGUUCCCAGGCACCUCACCGUCCAAAUCCACCAACACCAAAAUGCAGUGACAAGUGAGCUUCUGGAGCAAGGACUUCCCCAGGGAGGAUGGGCUGUGAGUCGCAUUGUCCUGAAACCUUCUGGAAGCACACGGAUUAUAAAUAGCAUGAUUGGUGGCCUGCAUUUUUCUCCAUAAACUC